RNAcentral lists this ribosomal RNA (118 nucleotides) under Anolis carolinensis (green anole). The record is from RNAcentral. Lineage: Eukaryota; Metazoa; Chordata; Lepidosauria; Squamata; Anolidae.
UUUUAUGGCCAAAAUACCCUAAAAGCACCAGAUCCCUUUUGGGCUUGGAGGGUAAGCGGGACAGCCCUGGUAAGUAUUUGGUUGAGAGACUACCAACAAAUACCAGGUGCUAUAUGCU